UCUCGCUGCCAUAGCGUUAGGACUUCUGCCGCCGGUCCCAUUUCGCUGACCUUGGAGUCGAUUGCCAGCUUGUCGAGGCACCGGAGUAGCGGCGAAUACGGCGGCUGCCGCUGGUCGUCAUCCUUGGUCCGCUUGCUGCCAUCCACCACAACCAAAUAAUUAGGCAAGGUGCAUACGAACAUACACGGUAUUUUUCUAUACAUAAAAGAUUUGCUAGUUGAUGUAACCCCCUUUUGCUUUUGUUUGGCUAUACUUCGCUAGUUGAAGAACAAAGAUUUUUUUCCAGGCCAAUUGCCUCAAUUUCAACUCUGUGCUACUACCCAAAAUUUGGAUCGAGACUGUAGAACCAUAUACGUUUUUGUUAGAAAAUAGCCAAAUAUAUGUAUUUGCUUAUCAAUUUGAAGUAUUUCCUAGGAAACUAUGAAUUUUAAUAUUUUAGAUGACUUGUUAUUGACGCAUUUCGAAACAUAUGUUGAUAUGAUAUUUCGGUUGAUAUAACAUAUUAUACUUGUGAUCGUCAUUGCUCCCUGCUCCUCCCCCACCCUCCAUGUCCAAAUCCUGGCUCCGCCCCUGCCUUCACACAUCCACACUCUUGGCAUCAGAUUCUUCUGCUUGACCGUUCCUGUUCGUUCAAUAUGGUUGUUCUCAUGUGUGUGCUGCUCUUGGGCCGUCUUUCCUAUUGGAAGCUACUCCCGAAAAAAUCGGAGCCUUCUCGUUCACACAUACAACCUAACGUUCGAUCCAAGUUGGACGAUCAUGAUAUGACCAGGCAUUUCCUCUCAUUCCACCAUGACCUAUCGUCUCUCUUGUUCGAUUUUCACCCUCAAUCUCUAUCAUGUCUCUCUCAGGCGGAAUCUAUCAGGUGCACCCACGUCUGUGGUACUACCGGUGCAUUAGAUGCCGUAGAACAUUUUUAAAAAUCUAAAAAAAAUCUAGCACAUUGACACAACUUCAAUGUAUGUUGUCACAAAAAUUGGUAUGAAAAUUUGAAAUAUUUCUUGAGAUACAGAAAGGACAAAUUUACCAUCAAUGCGAUAAUGGGCGAAAUCUAAAGGCCAACUUAUAUUAUGUACUAUUCACUGUUAAAUUUUUCUUUUUGUUUCCCAAGAUAUGUUUCGAAUUUUGACUUGAAAUUUUGUGACAACCUACAUUGAUGCUGUGUUAAUGUGCUAAUUUUCUUUCCAGAAAUGUUUGAACAAUUUAAAAGUGCAAUGUGAGUUCAUUCACCGGUAGCACCACAAGCACUGGUGCACUAGAUACUCUCCCCUCUCUCAGGUGUGUCGCCACAGUUGGCAUUCCCUUCAGCUUGUAUGUACAUGAUUGGAUUCCAGAAGAAAAUGAAAGAGGGCAUGUAUCCAAUCCUUAGAAAAUCCAUCUAUAGUUCUCGUGGUUCAAAAAAAACUUGUAUUAGUUUAAUAUUUUUAUAUUCCUUCAAUCUGGCAAUCCUGCAAAACAAAAAGGGCACACUAGAAGUUAUUUGGUUACACCAUAUAAACAACACGUGAAUUGUUCUGACAGAUUCAAGGAAUGUCGUAGUUGCCUUUGAAAUAAUACAAAAAUGAUAUGAGUUGGAUCCAAAAGAAAGUCUAUUUGAAAUUGAAUUCAAUGUAUAUCAUAGGAAAAGAAGUUGUAUGGUCGCAAUCAUACAAACCAAACAAGUUCCAUAGAAAUUUCUAACAAAUGGAGUCUUCUAGAAUUCAUACUCCAUUUCUGUAUACAAGGCCACUUUAUAAUUUUUUUAUAUCUAACUUUCAUCAUUAAUUUUAUACACAAAUAUUGAGUUAUAUGAUACAAAAAGUAUGUCAUUAGACACACAUUUCAAUGAUAUAUUUUGAUGACAUAUAAGCCAUAUUUUGUUAACCAAAAUUAUAAGUCAAAGUUUGACACAAAAAAUGAAGUGGCCUUGUAUAGAGAAAUGGAGGGAGUAUUCAAUUUCGUUGAACCAAAGUGUCUUAUUCUAAAUGUAAGAGCAAACUAUUGGUUAAUUAGUUCUUAGUGGCUAGAUAUAAGAGACGGUGUCCUGGACUGGUGGGGGGGUGCUUAUACGGCCCCCACAAUCCACGAGCGGAGCUCAUGGCCCACCGAUCAUUACAGAGGACUCCGGAAGCCUUGAACCUCGACGUGAUCAAGAUGGAAACCUCUGAAGACUUGGCGUGUACCUCAAGAUGGAACCCAGAUACAUCAGGGUGGUCGACAAUGUUCCAUAUGAGCGCAGACGCUCGUUUGAAACCUUCAAAGAAAACGAAAAAAGGACUAGAUCAUUUGACGGUGUUCCAUGCGGGCACCCUUUCCCAUUCACGUGGUCGUAUGACAUCCUCGACCAAAAUAAGUAACCAGAGCAUUUGUCGGUGUUCCAAAUGGGUGCUGCCGCCCGUUUCAGUGGUCGUAUGAGUUAUGCACAGACACAGGUGAGUAACCAGGGUGAACGACGGUCUUUCGGUUGUAUGGACCCCUAACGGCCACAAUAAGCCCGAGGAAGGAGGUAAAUCACCCCCAUCUCACUAUUUUCUCCUUAUUCCCCAAAAUAUCUCCAAACCCUAGCAAAACUUCGCCCGUUCUCUCUACUCGCUCGAUUUCAGUUCAAAUCCUUCUACGUGAUCAACAUACGAUAUGUUUCUCCUUCGAUCCCCAAUUUAAUUUUCUCGAAUUCGUGUUCUACAUUCCUAGCAUUGCCAUGUCUAGGAAAUGCAUAUUUUGAUCCAAAUUUGAGUUUGGCUUGGAUUCUUUGAUGUUUUUAGAGGAGUAUGAUGUCGAUCAAUAUCGUUUAAUUGCAUUGGACUAAAAAAGUGUUUUGUAGAUGUGUACGAGGAGGUCCACUUGCAUAGGCAGUGCUUUGAGUUCAUCCACCGCACCGCCACAACAAAUUUUCACUCAGGGGAUCGUUUUCACUGUCCGUGGAGCAAGAAAGAAGUUUCAAAGACUCGGUACAAGGAAGAUCAAAGUAUCCAUGUGCGCUUGCGCGACAACACUUGCUAAGCUAGAUAUUACUAAUGAUUUCAAUUUGCGUUGUCAUAAUGCCGGGUUGCACCAUUUUGUUUAUCAGGGAUGUGAGACAUAUGAAUGCAUGACGCUUGAGUUUCUUAGCACUCUCUCGCACAAUGUUAGUCUAAUGCCCAAUGCAUACGAGGAGGAGUGAACCACUUUCUGUUUGGACCAAGACUUCAACAUCACUUUUCAAGAGUGGUGUAAUUACUUUGGCUUCCCCAACAAUGAUGAAGACAUCCGCUAUAUUUAUGAGUUUAUUGACCCGUACCCGAGGCAAUCCUUCUACCAGAUGAGUUGUCAUGGCUCAAGGCAAAGAGCCAGUUGCAUUGAGAGUCUUGCUAUACAUCAUUUCUAUUAUGUUAUCACUAACUCGUUGCAGGCACGAGGAGAAGUUUCUAAGGUGAAUGAUGAGAACAUGCUAGUUCUCGGGAAAGAAGCAAACCUUGACGUCGGUUAUUCGCCCAACUUAGGGGCAAUACUUUUGCACCUCGCACAUCAAGAAAAUCAUGCACAAGGAGAUAUCGUGUGUGGAGGAGUGAUCACCAUGUUGGCCAAUUCCCUUGGCCUCAACUACAAUCAGCUUCACCCCAUAGUCGGUAACAACCUUGUUAAUAUUCAUGUUCUUACUAGCGUUGAAAUGGUAGUAGUUCGUAAUGGUUGUCAUUGCAUCAGAAUUCCUGGAGUGGCAUACUUUUUGCCUACUCCUAUGCCUAACCGUUUCUCCAAAGAACAUUGACAAUUGCAUUAUGUUGCACAGGAAGGAGAUGCAGCUGUUGACCAAGAAGGCCCAGAACCUGAGAAGGUAGAUGAAGAAGAACUCGUCACCGAUGAAGAAGAGGAGCAGCCACAACAAGAAAACUACGCCACCUAUGCAAACCUUAUGUGGAUCUCUGCAGUCUCCAGGGCUCUAUUAAUGAUAUGAGCAACCUCGCCACGUCCCUUCGAGGCACGUCCACCUACAUGAACAUGAGCUUCUCCAACUGGAGCCAAGAAUGGGCUCCUGACAGAUGUCUGCUAGAACUACGUUGGUAUUUCCCCAAAGAGGAAGGGAUGAGGCAGCAUAGCGACGGUAGGUAUUUCCCUCAGUGAUGAGACCAAUAUUAUCGAACCAGUAGGAGAACCUCCUCACACCACAUAAACAGCACCUGCACACAAAUAACAAAUACUUGCAACCCGACGUGUUAAAGGGUUUGUCAAUCCCUUUCGGGUAUGGCGCCUCAAGAUAGGCAAAUAACGCGAGGUAAAAGUGGUAGAUAGAAUAAAUAGAUUGCGGAACAAAUAAAUUAAAGCAAGGAAUUUCUGUAUUUUUGGUUUAAUAGAUAUGAAAAUAAAUGCAAUAGAAAAUAUAUCACAAGGCAAAUAUGAUGAAAAGAGACCGGCGG
This 4367-nucleotide long non-coding RNA is filed under the name Triticum aestivum (bread wheat). Its description in RNAcentral is "long non-coding RNA (TAES_LNC011842)". The record is from RNAcentral. Lineage: Eukaryota; Viridiplantae; Streptophyta; Magnoliopsida; Poales; Poaceae.